RNAcentral lists this long non-coding RNA (601 nucleotides) under Apteryx owenii (little spotted kiwi). RNAcentral's name for it is "lncRNA (ENSAOWG00000012391.1)". Lineage: Eukaryota; Metazoa; Chordata; Aves; Apterygiformes; Apterygidae. The record is from RNAcentral.
AUCACUGUGACUUUCACUCUCUACUGCUCAAAACAAAAAACAAAAAUAAAAGCCCUGCAGUUACUCCCACACUGCUUAACACGACCAGAUCCCUUUAGGAUUACAUAAACUGCAUUGCCCUUAUGACAAAGAGGGCUUAAUUCAGUUGCCUCACCACAUGCAUCUAAUGCCAUUCAAGACGGCACAAGGUAUGUGAUACACUGACACAGGACAGACAAAACAUGCCUCUGGAGGCCAGGUGAAAAAUCUUAGGGCCAGGUGAAAUGGCUCCAGAUGUCUAAUUUAAGCAACUGUCCUGAGCCCCAAAGGACCCUUUUAUGUCUUGCAUCCUUCAUUGGCAUUUCCUACCAAUAAAAAUGUACCUUGAAGAGUCUCAUCCAAGAAAACUGUCUUGUAAAAGCAGUUCUAAAACCUGAAGAAAAAUGUGACUGGGCAAACAUCAGGAGGCCUGAAACACUUCAGUACUUCAUACCAUCAGGUCCUUAUGCCAAGGCAUUCUGCUGCUGGAGGAUGACAAUGCAGCAACAAAACAAGCCUGAGUCCUACAAGAACAAAGAGGCCAUGAAUUUAGAAGUCCAGUUCUGAGGAGCACAGAGGGGAG